AAAUGGAGAUCAUGUGUGAGACUGUAAGUGAAAUCUCACAUCUCAAAGUAAAGCAGUUCAUUUUGACAUUUUUAAAGUAGUUGCCAAUGGUGUGGUAUUAUCUCCAAAAAAAGCUCACACCGCCUUGGAAGGCACUGGCCACAUCCCAUGGCCAGAAAGUUCUUCUGUAUCUUGUUCUGGGUUAUUCAGUUCAGUUCCUAAUGUGAAGAUUCAAGAGAGAUGCUCAUAGGAUU
Molecule: long non-coding RNA, 233 nt
Filed under: Bos taurus (domestic cattle)
Lineage: Eukaryota; Metazoa; Chordata; Mammalia; Artiodactyla; Bovidae
Description: long non-coding RNA NONBTAT004217
Source: RNAcentral